GGAUGCAAUCAUACCAGCACAAAAGCACCGGAUCCCAUCAGAACUCCGAAGUUAAGCGUGCUUGGCGAGAGUAGUACUAGGAUGGGUGACCUGCUGGGAAGUCUUUGUGUUGCAUUCC
This 118-nucleotide ribosomal RNA is filed under the name Aegilops tauschii subsp. strangulata. Lineage: Eukaryota; Viridiplantae; Streptophyta; Magnoliopsida; Poales; Poaceae. The record is from RNAcentral.